RNAcentral lists this ribosomal RNA (696 nucleotides) under uncultured bacterium. Its description in RNAcentral is "bacterial SSU rRNA". It matches the Rfam family "Bacterial small subunit ribosomal RNA", at positions 32 to 715 of the family's 1533-position model. The record is from RNAcentral.
AACGCUAGCUACAGGCUUAACACAUGCAAGUCGAGGGGAAACGAUAUUGGAAGCUUGCCUCCGAUAGGCGUCGACCGGCGCACGGGUGAGUAACGCGUAUCCAACCUGCCCAUCACUUGGGAAUAACCUUGCGAAAGUAAGACUAAUGCCCAAUGAUAUCCCACGAAGGCAUCCGAAUGGGAUUAAAGAUUUAUCGGUGAUGGAUGGGGAUGCGUCUGAUUAGCUUGUUGGCGGGGUAACGGCCCACCAAGGCAACGAUCAGUAGGGGUUCUGAGAGGAAGGUCCCCCACAUUGGAACUGAGACACGGUCCAAACUCCUACGGGAGGCAGCAGUGAGGAAUAUUGGUCAAUGGGCGAGAGCCUGAACCAGCCAAGUAGCGUGCAGGAUGACGGCCCUAUGGGUUGUAAACUGCUUUUAUAAGGGAAUAAAGUGGGUCACGUGUGACUUUUUGCAUGUACCUUAUGAAUAAGGACCGGCUAAUUCCGUGCCAGCAGCCGCGGUAAUACGGAAGGUCCGGGCGUUAUCCGGAUUUAUUGGGUUUAAAGGGAGCGUAGGCCGGAGAUUAAGCGUGUUGUGAAAUGUAGAGGCUCAACCUCUGCACUGCAGCGCGAACUGGUCUUCUUGAGUACGCACAACGUGGGCGGAAUUCGUGGUGUAGCGGUGAAAUGCUUAGAUAUCACGAAGAACUCCGAUUG